AUCCAGACUCCUACGGGAGGCAGCAGUCGGGAAUAUUGCGCAAUGGAGGAAACUCUGACGCAGUGACGCCGCGUGCAGGAAGAAGGUUUUCGGAUUGUAAACUGCUUUAGACAGGGAAGAAAAAAGACAGUACCUGUAGAAUAAGCUCCGGCUAACUACGUGCCAGCAGCCGCGGUAAUACGUAGGGGGCAAGCGUUAUCCGGAUUUACUGGGUGUAAAGGGAGCGUAGACGGCAUGGCAAGUCAGAUGUGAAAGCCCGGGGCUCAACCCCGGGACUGCAUUUGAAACUGUCAGGCUGGAGUGCAGGAGAGGUAAGUGGAAUUCCUAGUGUAGCGGUGAAAUGCGUAGAUAUUAGGAGGAACACCAGUGGCGAAGGCGGCUUACUGGACUGUAACUGACGUUGGGGCUCGAAAGCGUGGGGAGCAAACAGGAUUAGAUACCCCGGUA
Molecule: ribosomal RNA, 447 nt
Filed under: uncultured bacterium
Lineage: Bacteria
Description: partial 16S ribosomal RNA
Rfam family: Bacterial small subunit ribosomal RNA
Source: RNAcentral